UGGUACUUGACUGAUAGCAAUAGGCUUUGGUUUUCGGAACCUGUUCAUCAUAUUUGGCCAAUAGAUAAUACGGGGUUUCCAUACCAGCCUUUCGACCUCAGGUAUUAGCCGUAUUUUAUUUCAUUAAUUGUGGGUUUUCCAUACUGGUCUUUCGACCUCAGGUAUUUGCCACCAUGUGUUGGGUCCGCCGGUCCCUCCCGCGUCCCUUGCCUACUCGACCAUCAAUCAAGUACCAUACUCCCAUUUUUUAAAACAUAUUCUUUCAUAUCCCUAUGACUCGUCAAUCAUUCAAACAUCGUGAAGAACACGUAGCAAAAGUCACAUUAAAGCACACAUAAUUAGGUUCUUAUGAUGAGCAAAUGAAUGCUUCAACUUACCUCAAGUUCAAUAUGGUGUAUGAAGUGAAAAGAUCAGUCUCAUAUAGGUUGUGCUAGAGUCCUUGUUUAGAGAUGAAUUCAAACUUCAAAA
Molecule: long non-coding RNA, 468 nt
Filed under: Erythranthe guttata (spotted monkey flower)
Lineage: Eukaryota; Viridiplantae; Streptophyta; Magnoliopsida; Lamiales; Phrymaceae
Description: long non-coding RNA (EGUT_LNC003581)
Source: RNAcentral